GACGAACGCUGGCGGCGUGCUUAACACAUGCAAGUCGAACGGACAGGCCCUGCUCUUGUGGGGUGCUCGAGUGGCGAACGGGUGAGUAACACGUGAGUAACCUGCCCUUGACUUUGGGAUAACUUCUGGAAACUGGGGCUAAUACCGGAUAGGAGCUCUUGCUGCAUGGUGGGGGUUGGAAAGUUUCGGCGGUUGGGGAUGGACUCGCGGCUUAUCAGCUUGUUGGUGGGGUAGUGGCUUACCAAGGCUUUGAAGGGUAGCCGGCCUGAGAGGGUGACCGGCCACAUUGGGACUGAGGUACGGCCCAGACUGCUACGUGAGGCAGCAGUGGAAAAUAUGACACAAUAGGCGGAAGCCUGAGACAGCAACGCCGCGUGCGGAAUAACGGCCUACGGGUUGUGAACCGCUGUCGCCGGUAACGAAGCGUGAGUGACGGUAAUGGAUAAGAAAGCACCGGCUAACUACGUG
This 468-nucleotide ribosomal RNA is filed under the name uncultured bacterium. Its description in RNAcentral is "partial 16S ribosomal RNA". It matches the Rfam family "Bacterial small subunit ribosomal RNA", at positions 28 to 507 of the family's 1533-position model. The record is from RNAcentral.